UUUAUCCAUUAAGCGCCAGAACUUGGGUUUUGUACGGAGAAAGAAUCGGGCCGGCAGACGGCUUGAUUCGCGAAGCACCAAGUUGACGAGGUGAAGGUGUUCGAAUGAUUCGGCGGGGACCUUCCGGUGAUUCACCAAAGCCGUAAACCGAAAACGGAAAAUGAAUGGGCGACCGUUCACACAACGCUUCCGGUGGGUGAAAG
Molecule: non-coding RNA, 203 nt
Filed under: Paenibacillus sp.
Lineage: Bacteria; Bacillati; Bacillota; Bacilli; Caryophanales; Paenibacillaceae
Description: GlcN6P sequence
Rfam family: glmS glucosamine-6-phosphate activated ribozyme aptamer
About the family: This entry contains a glucosamine-6-phosphate activated ribozyme that is found in the mRNA for GlmS. GlmS is an enzyme that uses fructose-6-phosphate and glutamine to generate glucosamine-6-phosphate.
Source: RNAcentral